Long non-coding RNA from Rhagoletis zephyria (snowberry fruit fly), 1054 nucleotides. RefSeq lists it as uncharacterized. The record is from RefSeq and is a predicted model, not a curated record. Lineage: Eukaryota; Metazoa; Arthropoda; Insecta; Diptera; Tephritidae.
UACAAACGAAGUGGCCAGCAUCAACGAGCAUAGCAGAGGCGACGACUGGCAAUCGUAAAUGUGAGUUUGAGGUAAUUGGAAGUGAACGUAUUGAGUGCUGUGCGCGCAAAUUGAACGCGUCAGUCAGAAUUUAACGGUACACGCCUUCGGUUGUCAACAUUUAUUAACCGACGGCGGAAGUCGGAAGUUGUGAAAAACAAAAACAAUAAAAAAACAUCAUAGAAUGUAGUAGAGGGGAAGAGAAGGAGAAUUUAAUUUAUAACUGUUAAUCGGAGAGUUUAUAGGUGUGUGUUUGUGAGACAAGUGACUUGAACGGGAGGAAAAUUCCAUAUCAUAAUUAUGCAGUGAGAAAGCAUAUCACAAGUUGAGCGUACCAUUCAAGUUUCAUCUCGCGGCUGCUAAGUGGUAGAAGCAAAAAAGUAAAAAUAACUGUAAUUAAAUAAAAUACCAAUUUAUCAAUCCACGCACAAGCGUACAUACACACAGACGUACAUAUGUAUGUACAUGCAAAUUCCUACAUACAUACAUACUUAGUAUGUUUGUACUUAUUAUAAGCUAACUUAUUUAAUAACACUAUGUCAAUGUAUUGUAUGUACAAUAAAGCAGAGAUUCAGCAAAACAAUUUAAACAGCGGAUAAAGUGAAAUAAAAAACAACAAAAUAAAAUAAUAAAACUAUAAACAUUACAGCUACGUGCACUAACCAAACUCGUAGCCCUGUUAAUUUCGAUUUGAAAUUUCAUUUUUAAAUGUUAAUGCCCGUACGGAACGGGAAAAAAGUGACAGUGACAAGUGACGCAACCAAACGUCAACAUUAAUAAAUACAGCAAAUAUUUUGCUAUUUUACUCGCAUUCGAGAAUAACAAAGCGAUACAUUCCAUAAAAAAAACAAACAACACAAAAACAAAAAAAGUAAUUAGUUUAAAGGCAGUAAAAAAACAACAAUAACAGUUGCGAAAAAUCUCAGUAAAAUAUAACAGGUAUGCACCCCAGUUAAAAGGCUUCGGCUUAUUGAAUGGAUCUAUUGAUAGCUACAAAAACAAAUUCUAAAAAAUC